RNAcentral lists this transfer RNA (64 nucleotides) under Aspidomorpha difformis. RNAcentral's name for it is "tRNA-Met". The record is from RNAcentral. Lineage: Eukaryota; Metazoa; Arthropoda; Insecta; Coleoptera; Chrysomelidae.
AAAAAGAUAAGCUAAGUUAAGCUAAUGGGUUCAUACCCCAUUUAUGAAUAAAUUUCUCUUUUUA